Taeniopygia guttata (zebra finch) is the source of this 295-nucleotide non-coding RNA. Lineage: Eukaryota; Metazoa; Chordata; Aves; Passeriformes; Estrildidae. The record is from RefSeq and is a predicted model, not a curated record.
UGUGUCUAUUUCUACCAUUGCAGAGUAAAGAGUCCUUUAGAGGAGAAAUCAGAAAAUCCUGAUGUUGUACUGCAUUUUUAUGUAACUCAACACUGACUUUAAAAAGCCCCUGACUUGUAGUUCCAGCUUUGAAAAGUUUCUAGGCAGAGAAGUGAACUCCCAGACAGCUUCCUUGCAUGCCACCAGGCACCUCCAGUCCUUAAACAGGGCUUUUCACAAUGUACAUUUUGGAUAUAGACUCUUAAAUUCUUCCUAAGCACCACUUUGCAUACAUAAAUCUCUUUUUGGAACUGAG